UGACUCCAAAGGCCGUUUGAGAAGC
Molecule: non-coding RNA, 25 nt
Filed under: Drosophila erecta
Lineage: Eukaryota; Metazoa; Arthropoda; Insecta; Diptera; Drosophilidae
Also listed under: 1 other name
Source: RNAcentral